Molecule: RNA transcript, 1567 nt
Organism: Setaria italica (foxtail millet)
Lineage: Eukaryota; Viridiplantae; Streptophyta; Magnoliopsida; Poales; Poaceae
Gene name: squalene synthase-like
Exons: 13
Source: RefSeq, a predicted model, not a curated record
ACAUAUUUGGUGUGCGUGCGGGUCUUAUGGAAAAAUCCACUUUAAACUUUCACAAAGAGGCGUCUCUAAAACGGCUGUUGUUGCGAUCGCGCAGGUGUGCAUCUUCUACCUCGUGCUCCGUGCCCUCGACACCGUCGAGGAUGACACUAGCAUUCCAACCGACGUGAAGGUGCCUAUCCUCCAGGAAUUCUACCGGCACAUCUACGACCCCAACUGGCACUAUUCAUGUGGAACAAAUAACUACAGAGUGCUGAUGGAUAAUUUUCACCACGUAUCCACCGCGUUCCUAGAGCUUGGUGAAGGUUACCAAAAGGCAAUUGAAGAAAUCACUAGGCGAAUGGGAGCAGGAAUGGCAAAAUUUAUAUGCAAGGAGGUUGAAACUGUUGAUGACUAUGAUGAAUAUUGUCACUAUGUAGCUGGGCUAGUUGGAUAUGGACUUUCUAGACUCUUUCAUGCUACUGGGACUGAAGAUCUGGCUCCAGAUUCACUGUCGAAUUCAAUGGGUUUAUUUUUGCAGAAAACUAAUAUAAUUAGGGACUAUUUGGAGGACAUAAAUGAGAUACCAAGGUCCCGCAUGUUCUGGCCUCGAGAUAUAUGGAGUAAAUAUGCGGAUAAACUUGAGGAUUUCAAAUAUGAGGAAAAUUCAGAAAAGGGAGUACAGUGCUUGAAUGAUAUGGUGACUAAUGCAUUGAUUCAUGCUGAAGACUGCCUUCAGUACAUGUCAGCUUUGAAGGAUCAUACCAUUUUCCGUUUUUGUGCAAUACCCCAGAUAAUGGCAAUUGGAACGUGUGCCUUUUGCUACAAUAACGUGAAUGUCUUUAGAGGAGUUGUAAAGAUGAGACGUGGGCUCACGGCACGAGUGAUUUAUGAGACAGACUCAAUGUCAGACGUCUAUACUGCUUUCUAUGAGUUUUCUUUAUUGUUGGAGUCAAAGAUUGACGACAAUGAUCCAAAUGCUGCGCUAACACGAAAACGUGUGGAUUCAAUAAAGCAAACUUGCAAGUCAUCUGGUUUGCUAAAGAGAAGGGGUUACCAUUUGGACAAGUCACCUUACAAGCCUAUGCUGAUCAUGAUUGUUCUUCUGCUGUUGGCUAUUAUAUUUGGGGUACUGUAUACCAAGUGAAGCCCUUGUUGCCCUUUUUUCAUAUGGAGACUUAAGAGGGCAAAGUAUGUCAGUCCGACCAUGUACUCUGUAGUCUCCAAAGGCUGCGAAAUAUCCAGCGGUACUGACUGUAGAUGAAUGAUGGAUAUGGCUUAGCUUCCACAUGAUGCUGUGCUAAUCUCAAUUCUUUUGCUCCUUUCCUUUCCUCGCGUGGUGUACCGUUUGAAGCUGUUUCAAGGGAAAAGUAUCCUGUAAACUUGUGUUUUUAUUUAGCUAGCAGUGGACACACUGUAGUUUUGUUGGCAUGCUUUUUUUUCCCACAAAAAAACUCGUGUAAAAAGCUACAAUGGAUUGCGUGUUGGGCAACCUAUGUACCGGCGUUAACAUGUGGUGUACCUUGUCUGCAGAGGGCUUAAUAAAAAGGCUUAAGCAGCCUAACCGUCGCAUUUUUUUUUAAAAAAAACA